Molecule: ribozyme, 120 nt
Filed under: Aedes aegypti (yellow fever mosquito)
Lineage: Eukaryota; Metazoa; Arthropoda; Insecta; Diptera; Culicidae
Description: drz-agam-1 ribozyme
Rfam family: drz-agam-1 ribozyme
Source: Rfam by way of RNAcentral
UGCCUAGCAAAUCCUAUGCCUACCUCUUCGUGGUACUGGCCGGGGUACGAGCAACUUUAGGGAAGAUCGAGUAACCAAUUCAUCGCGGUGGGAAUUUUGGUCGUAUGCUGACAGGAAAGG